This 171-nucleotide ribosomal RNA is filed under the name Gadus macrocephalus (Pacific cod). RNAcentral describes it as "partial 16S ribosomal RNA". Lineage: Eukaryota; Metazoa; Chordata; Actinopteri; Gadiformes; Gadidae. The record is from RNAcentral.
UAUACAGUAAAAACUUAGUGAUAUUUACUGAAGUGUCUUUGGUUGGGGCGACCGCGGGGUAAAACACAACCCCCAUGUGGACCGGGGAUAUUAUCCCUAAUACUCAGAGCCUCUACUCCAAGUAACAGAAAUUCUGACUUUUCUGAUCCGGUAUAACCGAUCAACGAACCG